Molecule: ribosomal RNA, 406 nt
Filed under: uncultured bacterium
Lineage: Bacteria
Description: partial 16S ribosomal RNA
Rfam family: Bacterial small subunit ribosomal RNA
Source: RNAcentral
AUUGAACGCUGGCGGCAGGCCUAACACAUGCCAGUCGACCGAGUGGCGGACGGGUGAGUAAUGUCUGGGAAACUGCCUGAUGGAGGGGGAUAACUCCUGUAAACGGUAGCUAAUACCGCAUACCAUCAGAUGUGCCCAGAUGGGAUUAGCGAGUAGGUGGGGUAAUGGCUCACCUAGGCGACGAUCCCUAGCUGGUCUGAGAGGAUGACCAGCCACACUGGAACGGAGACACGGUCCAGACUCGUACGGGAGGCAGCAGGGGGGAAUAUUGCACAAGGGGCGCAAGCCGGAUGCAGCAAGGCCGCGUGUGUGAAGAAGGCCUUCGGGUUGUAAAGUACUUUCAGCGAGGAGGCGUUACUCGCAGAAGAAGCACCGGCUAACUCCGUGCCAGCAGCCGCGGUAAUAC